GAGGGGCUUUUCUGUUUCCCCCGCACAGGAACGUCUCCGCUCAGGUCUCCCCGGGGCUCCCGCUCCCAGCGGCGCUGCCCGGACCCCGCGGAGCAGCAGCAGGGCCAAGCCCCGGGGCUGAGACUCCCCUCGCCAGGCCCCGGCCCCGGCGUCUCUUCGCCAAUCAGGGAGCGGGGAGAGGCGGGCUGUUCUGACGCGCACCCCCAAUCCGCCAAUAGAAGGCCGAGCGUGAGAGAGAGACCUGCGCGUCUCAGCCUGCCCCGGGAGGGACGGCUCCGGAGGGCGGGGUUAUGGGUCACUUCCGCUUCCUGCGGCUGGGCACGGUCGUUGCCUUGGCAGCGGGGCACGUCAUUUCCGCUCUGAGGAGAGUCGAAGCGCACCUACCACUCUGCUGUGGCGGGGCGCCUCUCGCUCGAGCCCUGGAUAUUGGAGUUGAGCUUCCUGGGUCAGACACUGCUGCCUUCAUUACAAUCUGGGAAUCAAGACUGAGCAGCUGCUGCUCCCCUGGUGGAAUCAAGGCUAGGGAGUGACCUUAAGUAAAGUCUCCUCUGUGCCCAGACAAGGCGAGGACUUUCUCCAGCUGUAAUUAGCCCAUAAGGCAGCCCUAGACUUUGCCAACACCAACAGCUGAGCCAGAAACUCCAGGCUGCAGUGUAGCAUCCCUGUUUUGCUCCAGAUCAUUCUAUCCUUUCAGGGAAGGGAAAUGGCUGCAGUGGAGCCAGUUGAGGGGCUGGUGACCUUCGAGGAGGUGGUUGUGUAUUUCACCAAGGAAGAGUGGGCUCUGCUGGACCCCGCUCAGAGAGCUCUGUACAGAGAUGUCAUGCAGGAGAACUAUGAGAAUGUGACCUCGCUGGGUAAGGAUUCCUGUCCCCUUGGUUAUUAGAAGGGGAAGUGAAGAGUUUAGUUUCACAACACCGCACAGUGCAACCUCAUCUCUGCCCUGUUUCAGCAACACCCCAACAGGCAAAUGACACUCUACCCUCCCCGCUACGGAGCUGUUUGGGAACAGAGCACAGGAGCAAUAUAGCACAAAGUCUAACAUCUUUUCUUUGCUAAGGCAAAAUUUGGGAUUAGAUCCCAAGUAGGAAACAGAAGGUACCUACACCUGGCCUGCACUUAGACAUUGAGCCGACUAUACACAAUCUAUCUCAGAUUUUCAUAGUGUUACCACCUCUUUACCCUUGCACUGAGGAUUCCUUCUGAGUAAUUGCCUUCACUUACCCUCUCUGGAGCAUUGGAGACCACUAGCAUGUAUGCCACCAGACUGCUGACAAACUUCUUGACAAGAACACACUUUGUGCGCCUUCAUUAACACAGCCUACAACACUCAGCACUGAAUGAGGAAUACCUGUUCCUUCCGGUUUCACAUUCCUGUGUCUUCAUAUCACAGUCAUAGCUCUGCUAAGCUGCUCCAACUCUUCCCUCCACUGUUCCUUUAAAGCUAUAGCUGACACAGUGCACAUAGCUGAAGUGUAUGCAGAUAAAUGUUGGUAUUCA
This is a long non-coding RNA of Chelonia mydas (Green sea turtle), 1497 nucleotides long. RefSeq lists it as uncharacterized. NCBI's taxonomy places the organism in Eukaryota, Metazoa, Chordata, Testudines, Cheloniidae. The transcript is spliced from 4 exons. The record is from RefSeq and is a predicted model, not a curated record.